RNAcentral lists this transfer RNA (35 nucleotides) under Podarcis vaucheri. RNAcentral's name for it is "partial phe-tRNA". The record is from RNAcentral. Lineage: Eukaryota; Metazoa; Chordata; Lepidosauria; Squamata; Lacertidae.
UGCCGAGACGAGGAAAAAAAAAACCUCCACAGACA